GCAGCCGCGGUAAUUCCAGCUCCAAUAGCGUAUAUUAAAGUUGUUGCAGUUAAAAAGCUCGUAGUUGAAUUUCGGGAUCAAUACGUCGGUCGUGCCUCCGGUAUGUACUGGCGUUGUUGGUUUCUCCUUUCUGAGGAGCCAUGAUGCCAUUAAUUUGGUGUCGUGGGGAAUCAGGACUGUUACUUUGAAAAAAUUAGAGUGUUUAAAGCAGGCACACGCUUGAAUACAUUAGCAUGGAAUAAUGAAAUAGGACGUUCGAUUCUAUUUUGUUGGUUUCUAGGAUCAACGUAAUGAUUAAUAGGGAUAGUUGGG
Molecule: ribosomal RNA, 312 nt
Filed under: uncultured Glomus
Lineage: Eukaryota; Fungi; Glomeromycota; Glomeromycetes; Glomerales; Glomeraceae
Description: SSU rRNA
Rfam family: Eukaryotic small subunit ribosomal RNA
Source: RNAcentral